This 207-nucleotide ribosomal RNA is filed under the name uncultured bacterium. RNAcentral describes it as "partial 16S ribosomal RNA". It matches the Rfam family "Bacterial small subunit ribosomal RNA", at positions 568 to 774 of the family's 1533-position model. The record is from RNAcentral.
UGCGUAGGCGGAAUAGUAAGUCAGUGGUGAAAGCCUGCGGCUCAACCGUAGAAUUGCCAUUGAUACUGUUAUUCUUGAGUAUAGUUGAGGUGGGCGGAAUGUGUAAUGUAGCGGUGAAAUGCUUAGAUAUUACACAGAACACCAAUUGCGAAGGCAGCUCACUAAACUAUCACUGACGCUGAGGCACGGAAGCGUGGGGAGCAAACA